UAUUGACCUGGAGGACAACAAAUACCCUUCAGAUGAAGACUUUGGAGAUCUCUCCUAUUUGGAAGAGGAUGACUUAGAGGGUGCAGACAGUUCAGAUAGUGACCCAGACUAUGUAACAAGAAUUUGUAUUAGGUGAGUUUUAGACAUGAUUCUUGCAUGGAUAGCUUGUUUUGACACUGCACACUGUCCAAGACUGUGAAUGUUCACAACUUUGUUCAUAGAACCGGUGGGGCACUGGAAACGGCAUUGAAUGUGAAUGAUCUACCGGAAGUAAACAUGGAACAGAUUCUCUAUGAUCUGGAUACCGAGGUGGAGGAGGAGCAAGAGGAGCUGGAGGGAGAAACAUCAACUCAUGCUGAAAAGUUUCCUGUGGAAAUGAAAGGUAUGUGUGAAGAAGACAUCAUUGGUGUACCUGCAUCUAUUGUGUAUCACCACAGUCUGAGGCAGCUGGUACAGUAUCUGAGCAUUCCAACCAAAGUAUGCAAAAGGAUGGACAGGGCCGCCAGGCAGCUGUUGUUAAAUGGGUAAAUUUCGAAGUCUUUUCCAUAUCAUCAAUCAUUUGUUCCAUAUUGUGUGUGAAAUGUUGUACUAGCUAUGAGAUCACAGAUAAGAUGAUGCGUUACUGAAAUAUUUAUUCUCGAUGUUUAUCUGAAUUCCAGAUAUGUCCACAAGGUCACAUUGUUUGGAAGUGGUCUUCACAGCCGAUUCUGAAAUAUGGCAUGCAUGCUGGAGACUUUCUUUUGAGCUCAAACAUAGUUUUGUCUGGAAACAACUACGUGAAGGUGGCGUUGCUCUACAAAUUCAUGAACAUUCGCAUCGUGAAACAAGCCACGUUCUACAGAAUCCAGGACCACUUCUGUGUCGACACCAUCAGGGAAUUUUGGGACACCAAAAGGAUGGAAAUAAUCAAGCAACUUCAGUCAAAGCAGAGUAUGGUGGCCUUGGGUGAUGGACGGAUGGAUAGUCCUGGUUUUUGCGAUCAAUAUUGAUAAGAGGCAAACGGCCAUAAAUUCAGUGGCCAUGGAGAAGGAGGCAUUUCUCCAAGCUUUUGAAUCCCUUUCUGAAGAUGUCAAGCUGACAGAAGUUUGCACUGAGGCUAGCCCCCAGAUUUCAGCUCUUUUCAAUCCAAAGACGGGGAAGUUGAAAGAUAGGGGGGUUCAACAUUCUCUUGACGUAUGGCACGGCUCCAAAAAUCUGUCCAGAAGACUUACCACUGCAGGGCAACAGCAGGGGUGUGCGGUUCUGCUUCCGUGGUGCAGAGACAUUUGUAACCAUUCCUGGCACUGCUGCAAGACUGCUGAGACCUAUGACGAGUUUUUUGCAAGACAUGUGGGUCGGCUUUCUGCACCACGUUACUGGGGAGCACCAAUGGGCUCUGGGCAGCUACCAUCAUGGUCCGCUUGAGGAGGCAAGGGAAAAAGAAUGGAUUGAGCCAAAUUCUCAGGCCCAUCAGAAACUUACUGAAGUGAUUCUGAAUGCAGGUUGGUUGAAGGAUGUUUCAAAGUUUCUUCAUUUUAGGUGUGUAAGAUAUGUAACAGAUUCAUGUCACUGUAUGUGUGCAAUAUUUUUUAAAUGACUAAACUUGUCAUUCCUCCACCCCCACCGCAGAUCAACUGCAGACCUGGAAUCGCUUCUGUAGCAGGGGCAGCGGGGCCCUUCAGCACACAAACAACCACACU
Long non-coding RNA from Dicentrarchus labrax (European seabass), 1679 nucleotides. The record is from Ensembl. Lineage: Eukaryota; Metazoa; Chordata; Actinopteri; Moronidae.